Molecule: transfer RNA, 75 nt
Filed under: Propionibacteriaceae bacterium
Lineage: Bacteria; Bacillati; Actinomycetota; Actinomycetes; Propionibacteriales; Propionibacteriaceae
Description: tRNA-Val
Rfam family: tRNA
About the family: Transfer RNA (tRNA) molecules are approximately 80 nucleotides in length. Their secondary structure includes four short double-helical elements and three loops (D, anti-codon, and T loops). Further hydrogen bonds mediate the characteristic L-shaped molecular structure. tRNAs have two regions of fundamental functional importance: the anti-codon, which is responsible for specific mRNA codon recognition, and the 3' end, to which the tRNAs corresponding amino acid is attached (by aminoacyl-tRNA synthetases). tRNAs cope with the degeneracy of the genetic code in two manners: having more than one tRNA (with a specific anti-codon) for a particular amino acid; and 'wobble' base-pairing, i.e. permitting non-standard base-pairing at the 3rd anti-codon position.
Source: RNAcentral
GGGCGUAUGGCGCAGCGGUAGCGCGCUUCGUUCACACCGAAGAGGUCACUGGUUCAAACCCAGUUACGCCCACCA